Molecule: ribosomal RNA, 497 nt
Filed under: uncultured bacterium
Lineage: Bacteria
Description: partial 16S ribosomal RNA
Rfam family: Bacterial small subunit ribosomal RNA
Source: RNAcentral
GACGAACGCUGGCGGCGUGCCUAAUACAUGCAAGUAGAACGCUGAAGAGAGGAGCUUGCUCUUCUUGGAUGAGUUGCGAACGGGUGAGUAACGCGUAGGUAACCUGCCUUGUAGCGGGGGAUAACUAUUGGAAACGAUAGCUAAUACCGCAUAACAAUGGAUGACACAUGUCAUUUAUUUGAAAGGGGCAAUUGCUCCACUACAAGAUGGACCUGCGUUGUAUUAGCUAGUAGGUGAGGUAAUGGCUCACCUAGGCGACGAUACAUAGCCGACCUGAGAGGGUGAUCGGCCACACUGGGACUGAGACACGGCCCAGACUCCUACGGGAGGCAGCAGUAGGGAAUCUUCGGCAAUGGGGACAACCCUGACCGAGCAACGCCGCGUGAGUGAAGAAGGUUUUCGGAUCGUAAAGCUCUGUUGUAAGUCAAGAACGGGUGUGAGAGUGGAAAGUUCACACUGUGACGGUAGCUUACCAGAAAGGGACGGCUAACUACGUG